GAUGAACGCUGGCGGCGUGCUUAACACAUGCAAGUCGAACGAAGCACUUAAGAUUGAUUCUUCGGAUGACGUCUUUUGUGACUUAGUGGCGGACGGGUGAGUAACGCGUGGGUAACCUGCCUCACACAGGGGGCUAACAGUUAGAAAUGACUGCUAAUACCGCAUAACCCGAUAGGAUCGCAUGAUCCAGACGGAAAAGAUUUAUCGGUGUGAGAUGGACCCGCGUCUGAUUAGCUAGUUGGUGAGGUAACGGCCCACCAAAGCGACGAUCAGUAGCCGGGCUGAGAGGGUGGACGGCCACAUUGGGACUGAGACACGGCCCAAACUCCUACGGGAGGCAGCAGUGGGGAAUAUUGCACAAUGGGGGAAACCCUGAUGCAGCGACGACGCGUGAGUGAAGAAGUAUUUCGGUAUGUAAAGCUCUAUCAGCAGGGAAGAAAAUGACGGUACCUGACUAAGAAGCCCCGGCUAACUACGUG
RNAcentral lists this ribosomal RNA (479 nucleotides) under uncultured bacterium. RNAcentral's name for it is "partial 16S ribosomal RNA". It matches the Rfam family "Bacterial small subunit ribosomal RNA", at positions 28 to 507 of the family's 1533-position model. The record is from RNAcentral.